This is a non-coding RNA of Camellia sinensis, 547 nucleotides long. NCBI's taxonomy places the organism in Eukaryota, Viridiplantae, Streptophyta, Magnoliopsida, Ericales, Theaceae. The record is from RefSeq and is a predicted model, not a curated record.
UGGGCCCACGGAUUAAUAAUCUCAAUCCUAUACUUUAAUCCUUCCAAUCAAACAUGCCAUAAAGGUAUCUCCACCAAUGUUCCAUAAUUUGGUAUACGGAUGCACCCAUUAAGUAUCCAUGGAGUACCCAAUUGCCAAAGCAUGUAUAAAAAGUAUCCGAUACGUAUUUCAAAUACUGAUAUACAUGCAGUUUUAGAGGUACGAGCACCAAUACCCGGAAUACAUGCAAUCUUAUCGGUAUUAGAACCAGUACCCAGUAAGUACCCAAUACGAUUAUGGCAACAUUCCAGGAUUACCCAUGCUUAUAUAUUUUUUUCAUCCUUAUGUCUGCACUUUGUUUAUGUUUAUUUGUGGUUUAAGCAUUGAAAAAUUCUUUGCAAAUGCAGAUUCAGAUUAGCGUUAUGAAAUCUCUUUUAUGUUGUUUCAAUUACACUCCAUCCCUAAAUUUCCUCAUUAACCACGCAGAUCACCAAACAAUUCAUUUUCCCUGUGAGAAAUAAAAAAUUUAGUAUAAAAAUAAAAAAUAAAAACAAAAACAAAAACAAAA